UGGGGAAUUUUCCGCAAUGGGCGAAAGCCUGACGGAGCAACGCCGCGUGAGGGAGGAAGGCUUUUGGGUUGUAAACCUCUUUUCUCAAGGAAGAUUUCAGACGGUACUUGAGGAAUCAGCAUCGGCUAACUCCGUGCCAGCAGCCGCGGUAAUACGGAGGAUGCAAGCGUUAUCCGGAAUCAUUGGGCGUAAAGCGUUCGCAGGCGGCGAUUCAAGUCUGCUGUCAAAGCCCGCAGCUCAACUGCGGACAGGCAGUGGAAACUGAAUCGCUAGAGUGCGGCAGGGGUAGAGGGAAUUCCCGGUGUAGCGGUGAAAUGCGUAGAUAUCGGGAAGAACACCAGUGGCGAAAGCGCUCUACUGGGCCGCAACUGACGCUCAGGGACGAAAGCUAGGGGAGCGAAAGGGAUUAGAUACCCCCGUAGUCC
RNAcentral lists this ribosomal RNA (425 nucleotides) under uncultured prokaryote. RNAcentral's name for it is "bacterial SSU rRNA". It matches the Rfam family "Bacterial small subunit ribosomal RNA", at positions 355 to 796 of the family's 1533-position model. The record is from RNAcentral.